Molecule: long non-coding RNA, 1355 nt
Organism: Falco peregrinus (peregrine falcon)
Lineage: Eukaryota; Metazoa; Chordata; Aves; Falconiformes; Falconidae
Exons: 3
Source: RefSeq, a predicted model, not a curated record
AGGAAAGCCAGCUCCUCUUGGGAGAGACACAGCUGUCCCCCCCCUGCAGCCAGUGGUACUUCAACGAGCCCUUACUCACCCAGGAGUAAGUAAAGUAAGUAAACGCGUAAGUCAGUAAAGCGCGUGAGCUUGGCCCUGUGAUGACAUUUCUGCUCUGCUCCUCUGGCAGCAGUAGUCACUGAUUUCCAGCUCACAUGCCUCUGGUUAGUCAAGUACACCCCCUUUUACAGGAAAAGUCUUUCCUGGGAAGGGUAAAGGCAGCCUGGUUUUUGCCCCAGUGUGCUUUGCUUUGUCCCCGUGAAUUUAAUGGGCUCUCUGCACUUGGCUGAGCUGAGCACAGUGUUCCCAAUUCAGCCCAUCAACUUACAAUAAAACGAUGUAAUUCAGAAGGAAAGCAUAUCUAAAUGAUCCUAAUUUAAAAUCAACAGAUAAGCUGAACAUGCAGGAGUAACACAAGGCUCAGCAACAUCUAGGGGAAGAAGGGAAAGUCUUUCCAGAUCUGACCUUUCAGCCAAGCUCCUCUGAGAAGCAAACAGAUCACCUCUGUACAGAGUUAUCUCGCAGGCUUCUGUCCAGGUGCAGAGGAGCUGCAUCAGCCCCUGCAUACACAGACAUGUGUUGGACUGGUGCACUCAGCAAAUCUUUCCUGAACGACAGCAGAAGAAACAUGCUGUAACCAUCGCUGUCACAAGUUAAGAAAGAAACUUCAGCUGAAAAAAUGCAGAUGAGUUUGCACUGGCAACUUCAUUUUGGAGAAAUGUAAUUAGUGUUUUGCACCCCUAUGAAUUUCCUGACUUCUCUCACAGAUCUCUUGGCGACCAAAGAUGGCAUCAGCACUGUGUUCACACAGAGGUUAAUGAGUAGGAGCUACAUGAGGAAUGAGGGUGGGAGGAGUUUGCUGUCCCUGCAGAACAUUCAGCAUCAUCAGAGUGCUUCGAUCAUCUGCUUGCUCAUCCUAGGAUGUGUAUUACACCAUCACUGGGAUGUGUCGCUGCGGGAUGUACGCUUAUUUACUGCACGAAGAAGUUCAGCCACAAAUAGCCAUUAAGUUGUUUGUGGAGCAUUCAGAGACAGCUGAGGAAAGACUUCCCUGGACAUCAAAGAUGACUGGGUUGGAGUGAGGGGAACUGUUGGAAUAGAAAUCUGGAAAAGCAUUUUCCUUACAGAGCCAAGGACAGCUGGCAAUCCCAACCCAGACCUGAGUUUUCUGCAUGAAACUCUGCCUUGGCCCAUGUGCGAGUGAACAUCAGGGCCUUGAGGAAGGUCAUGACCAGCUCAAGCUGUGAGAAGGAAAACCUGAUCUACCAAAAAUACCAACUGGUAUUACCUUCCCAAUAAAUUUUAAGGGAAUAGAA